This 1524-nucleotide ribosomal RNA is filed under the name Triticum aestivum (bread wheat). Its description in RNAcentral is "partial small subunit ribosomal RNA". The record is from RNAcentral. Lineage: Eukaryota; Viridiplantae; Streptophyta; Magnoliopsida; Poales; Poaceae.
AUGAUGGAUGAUGUGUUUAUCUACCAUGCGCAUACGUUCUUUGUUUUGUUUUGUGCAUGUGUAGGAUACUUGGACUUUGUGUCGACUUCCACUUCACGUGAGUUGACCAUUCGAGCUCUUGAGAGUGAGCCUCUUACAUUCUACCACGACUCGCUUCUACACCACAUUUCCUACCACUUAGGCAUUAUUAAGAAUGCACAAGGACACAAUUUCAAGGUGACAUCCUUCUUGAGCUUGGAUAUUGUGGAUCAUACUUCAUGUGUUGCUUGCACCAUUUGCACGCAUGUUCGAGAUAUUGCUUUCACCCAUGAUUGCCACAUUUCCAUGCUUCAUGAUAUAUAUACCUUGUGUGUUGCAUCCAAUUCUUGGACUACUUGCUACUAUCAUAUGGUUGGUUGCACCAAUAUCAUUUCUUCACAUAUGCCAUGUCCCUUUACUUGUCAUGUGAUUCACUUGAUUGCCUCACACAUGAUGAACAAUUGCUCUUUCUAUUGUGUUGAGUGCCACAAUAUAUUCACUACACCCUAUGUGCAUUAUGCUUGGAUUGUCUUGCACUUGACCCAUGUGUUUAGACAUCUCAUCUUAUUUGGUGUUGUGAAUGAUUCUUAUGCCUACCAUCGACCAUUUGUCGAGCAGUUUAUGCAUGCUUGCUAUGACCUUGAGGUAGAUGCUUAUGCUCUUGUCACACAUAUUUGCAUCUCUACCUCACAUUUACAUGCUUUACCCCAUGAUAUCUUUGCUUGUGCUCAAUUUAUGUGCUUACAUGCCAUGUCACAACCCUUUGUCAAACCAUAUGCUAUGCUUGAUGACAACACUUGUUUGGUGAAUCACCUCUUGAAUGCUUGGUUUUGCACUAAUGCUAACCACAUUUGUUUUUCCAAGUGUUUGUUGUAUUUGCUCAUUUUGAAGGAAUCACAAGAUGGUGGGACAUUGGAGAGUGCCCAUUUCGAGUUACUAGAUGAUGAGUGUUUGGUGAUCGACCGCUUCGACACGGCAAUGCCAUCUCUUUCCCAUGGUGAUUUGGUUUUCGAUCCGAGGUCGGAUCUUUUCCAAGGGGGAGGGGAUGAUGCGGAGCAUCCUACGGUCAUCACCAUGUCAAGAGUCCGUUUGGCAAGUGACACGUGCAACCUCUACUUCACAUACACAAAGGUGAAUCUUCUCCUUUACACGUGCUCACUUGACCCCUUCGAGGAUGGUAUACUACUUGACACUUCUCCCGUGUGCAUGCAUAGGUAUUGUCGGAGCUUCACGGAUGUCGAGGAGGAGUGCAAGCGCCAAGGAACAACUACACCAUCCGCGAGGGAAGCAUGGAAGAGAAGACAGAAGAAACUGAGCUGCUACAUGCUACAGCCACCGGACGACCGGUCGGGACCGGACGUCCGACGCCUGGAAGCCGCACCAGCCAGAAGGCCCAGCCAACGCCAGCUACAGCACCUCCCAGCAAGCGAACGUCUGGCCCCCAGUGGACGACCGGUAAUAUUAACGGAAGUCCGAAGAUACCAGACGACUGGUGUCCCUUCAUAG